GUGCCAGCCGCCGCGGUAAUACGGAGGGGGCUAGCGUUGUUCGGAAUUACUGGGCGUAAAGCGCACGUAGGCGGACUGGAAAGUCAGAGGUGAAAUCCCAGGGCUCAACCUUGGAACUGCCUUUGAAACUAUCAGUCUGGAGUUCGAGAGAGGUGAGUGGAAUUCCGAGUGUAGAGGUGAAAUUCGUAGAUAUUCGGAGGAACACCAGUGGCGAAGGCGGCUCACUGGCUCGAUACUGACGCUGAGGUGCGAAAGCGUGGGGAGCAAACAGGAUUAGAAACCCCAGUAGUCC
Molecule: ribosomal RNA, 292 nt
Filed under: uncultured bacterium
Lineage: Bacteria
Description: partial 16S ribosomal RNA
Rfam family: Bacterial small subunit ribosomal RNA
Source: RNAcentral